This 247-nucleotide long non-coding RNA is filed under the name Homo sapiens (human). RNAcentral's name for it is "LHRI_LNC444.1". Lineage: Eukaryota; Metazoa; Chordata; Mammalia; Primates; Hominidae. The record is from RNAcentral.
UGCCAAGUUUGGCUGAGACCAAUACCCUCUAACUCUAGCCAUUGCUUCCCCACUACCAGGCACUGAGAGAACAGGCUCCUUUUCGAGUAAACAGUGGGGAGACAUCAUGUUCCCAACAUUCUAAACUAAAGAGGACUCACUGAGGGGCCCAGCCAGUGGGAGGAGGCAGCCCAAAGCCUAGCCUGGCUUCCCACACCCCCAACCCUGCCAGUGCCCUGUGAGACCCUGACUACUCCACCCCCUCCAG